GGGGAAGUAGAUGACUUUGGUGUCGUUGUUUCCCCCAGCUUUUUUGCAUUGACAGCGAGUAGCACCAGAGCCAUUGGACUGGGUCCUGCUUGUCAUCGUACUUGGUGAUACCCGGGGGUUUUAAUUUUUUGGGUAGAAUUAUCCUCCUCACCCGCCUGGAAAAGGCGGGGAACCUAUUGGAAUCAUCCCCUGGGUGUUCGACUUCUUGCUCACGCUCGCAGAACCGUUCGUCAAUGAUGGUACGGGCAUUGUAACUGGCAUUGAUCUUGUUGCGAAGAUCUUCUACUGGGUGUUCAAG
RNAcentral lists this long non-coding RNA (298 nucleotides) under Setaria viridis. Its description in RNAcentral is "long non-coding RNA (SVIR_LNC000484)". Lineage: Eukaryota; Viridiplantae; Streptophyta; Magnoliopsida; Poales; Poaceae. The record is from RNAcentral.